CCUACGGGGGUCUGCAGUGGGGAAUCUUGCGCAAUGGGCGAAAGCCUGACGCAGCGACGCCGCGUGGGUGAUGAAGGCCUUCGGGUUGUAAAGCUCUUUGGGUGGAGACGAAUAAGUCGUGGCUAACAUCCACGAUGAUGACGGUAUCCACAUAACAAGCACCGGCUAACUCUGUGCAGCAGCCGCGGUAAGACAGAGGGCGCAAACGUUGUUCGGAAUUACCGGGCGUACGGCGCAUGUAGGCGGCUGUGAAAUCCCUCGGCUCAACCAAGGAAGUGCAGUCGAAAACGCAGGGCUGGAGUCCCGGAGAGGAAGGUGGAAUUCUCGGUGUAGAGGUGAAAUUCGUAGAUAUCGAGAGGAACACCGGUGGCGAAAGCGGCCUUCUGGACGAGGACUGACGCUGAGAUGCGAAAGCGUGGGGAGCAAACAGGAUUAGAUACCCCUGUAGUC
This 450-nucleotide ribosomal RNA is filed under the name uncultured bacterium. RNAcentral's name for it is "partial 16S ribosomal RNA". It matches the Rfam family "Bacterial small subunit ribosomal RNA", at positions 338 to 795 of the family's 1533-position model. The record is from RNAcentral.